CAGUCGCCGCGGGAAAACGUAGGGUGCGAGCGUUGUCCGGAAUUACUGGGCGUAAAGAGCUCGUAGGUGGUUUGUCGCGUCGUCUGUGAAAUUCCGGGGCUUAACUCCGGGCGUGCAGGCGAUGCGGGCAUAACUUGAGUGCUGUAGGGGAGACUGGAAUUCCUGGUGUAGCGGUGAAAUGCGCAGAUAUCAGGAGGAACACCGAUGGCGAAGGCAGGUCUCUGGGCAGUAACUGACGCUGAGGAGCGAAAGCAUGGGUAGCGAACAGGAUUAGAUACCCCCGUAGUCCCUGUCUCUUAUC
Molecule: ribosomal RNA, 301 nt
Filed under: uncultured bacterium
Lineage: Bacteria
Description: partial 16S ribosomal RNA
Rfam family: Bacterial small subunit ribosomal RNA
Source: RNAcentral